UAUCCGCCCGGGAACUACGAGCACCAGCUUAAAACCCAAAGGACUUGGCGGUGCUUUAGAUCCUACUAGAGGAGCCUGUUCUAAAACCGAUAACCCCCGUUCAACCUCACCUUUCCUUGUUUUCCCCGCCUAUAUACCGCCGUCGUCAGCCCACCCUAUGAAGGUUUAAAAGUAGGCUCAAUUGGCACAGCCCAGAACGUCAGGCCGAGGUGUAGCGUAUGGAAAGGGAAGAAAUGGGCUACAUUCCCUAUCUUAGGGUACACCGAAUGGUGUGCUUGAAACGCACAUCUUGAAGGAGGAUUUAGCAGUAA
RNAcentral lists this ribosomal RNA (311 nucleotides) under Artedidraco shackletoni. Its description in RNAcentral is "partial 12S ribosomal RNA". It matches the Rfam family "Bacterial small subunit ribosomal RNA", at positions 866 to 1341 of the family's 1533-position model. The record is from RNAcentral. Lineage: Eukaryota; Metazoa; Chordata; Actinopteri; Perciformes; Artedidraconidae.